This 558-nucleotide ribosomal RNA is filed under the name uncultured bacterium. RNAcentral's name for it is "partial 16S ribosomal RNA". It matches the Rfam family "Bacterial small subunit ribosomal RNA", at positions 355 to 935 of the family's 1533-position model. The record is from RNAcentral.
UGGGGAAUAUUGGACAAUGGGGGCAACCCUGAUCCAGCCAUGCCGCGUGAGUGAUGAAGGCCUUCGGGUUGUAAAGCUCUUUUGGCGGGGACGAUGAUGACGGUACCCGCAGAAUAAGCCCCGGCUAACUUCGUGCCAGCAGCCGCGGUAAGACGAAGGGGGCUAGCGUUGUUCGGAAUUACUGGGCGUAAAGCGAGUGUAGGCGGUUGCCGUAGUCAGGUGUGAAAGCCUUGAGCUCAACUCAAGAAAUGCACUUGAUACUGGGUGACUAGAGGACCGGAGAGGAUAGUGGAAUUCCCAGUGUAGUGGUGAAAUACGUAGAGAUUGGGAAGAACACCAGUGGCGAAGGCGGCUAUCUGGACGGUUACUGACGCUAAGACUCGAAAGCGUGGGGAGCAAACAGGAUUAGAUACCCUGGUAGUCCACGCCGUAAACGAUGGGUGCUAGACGUUGGCGAGCUUGCUCGUCAGUGUCGCAGCUAACGCGUUAAGCACCCCGCCUGGGGAGUACGGCCGCAAGGUUGAAACUUAAAUGAAUUGACGGGGGUCAUAGCUGUUU